Sitophilus oryzae (rice weevil) is the source of this 1038-nucleotide long non-coding RNA. RefSeq lists it as uncharacterized. The record is from RefSeq and is a predicted model, not a curated record. The transcript is spliced from 3 exons. NCBI's taxonomy places the organism in Eukaryota, Metazoa, Arthropoda, Insecta, Coleoptera, Curculionidae.
AUUAAAUAUUUUAAUCUAAGCAUUAAGUAAUAAAACUAUUUGUGCCCAUUUAUCAUAAGAGGUCACGAAAUAUACUCUUGGUAGUACACAAAACAGUGUAAGGGGUGUAAAUAAAAUGUAUAAUCAUUGAUUUUUUAUAAUAAAAACUAUAAAACAUUUAUUUCUUAUUUGUGAGAAUAAAAAAACAAAACAAUGCAUAAUAUAAACUAUUUUAGAAUUAGGCAUAGGCAACCAAAUACACAAGAAAAAUAAUUUAGAUAAAACCUUGUAAUUAUUUAUUAAAUAUGUCAAUAAAGUCUUAAUUAAGUCUCUAGUCUAUUUUUAUUUUAUAUUUACAUAAUAUAAAUACCUUACACUCUUUUUCCGAUACAGAAAAUUUUGUUAAUUGCUUCUUGAAAAUGCGACAACCUGACAACGCUGUUUUUAACGUUCGGGACGCGUUCGGGUGAACGACUCUACCCGAACAACUGGUAGGACAGAUGCUCAUUAGGACAGAUGUGGUUCUCCCCAUGAGGUGGCGGUAUUCGUCCUACGGGGUAUUUGUCCUACCAACCGAACGUCACUUCGGGCAUGUUCGGUAGUCCUAAAAAUUCCUGUUUCAGGAAUUUUGUCCUGGCUAACGUACUAAAUCUGUCAACGUCGCAUACUUUUCAAUCUUGUUUUGUUUUGGAAUUUGACAAGAUUAACCUCAGAAAAGUUUAAAAUUAUAAUUUUUAUGAACAUUGACGAAUAAUGUUAUGAAUAAUGUAAUAGAACCUGAUAUAAAAUAAUCCGGAAAUAUUUACAAAUAAAGCAUAAACAAAAUGAAAGUGAUAGCAACACGAUUACCUUUGAUAAUGUUUUUUAUAUAAGAAUACGUCUACAUGGGUUGAAAUCUCAGAAAAUAUUAAGCUAUCCACAAAUUCCUGAAAAUAAAUUAGCCGGUGAUUUGCGGAAAAAAUGUUCUUAAUUAUUUUCCCCACAUGAUGUCCUUUCAGGUUCCAGGAAACAGCACGGGCAUGUAUUAGGCAUAAUAAGUAAUUAUAAAGAAAUAUGAGC